RNAcentral lists this ribosomal RNA (326 nucleotides) under uncultured eukaryote. RNAcentral's name for it is "partial 18S ribosomal RNA". It matches the Rfam family "Eukaryotic small subunit ribosomal RNA", at positions 1470 to 1796 of the family's 1831-position model. The record is from RNAcentral.
CCCUUAGAUGUUCGGGGCUGCACACGCGCUACACUGGAGGAAACAGCGUGUAUUGUCCUGGUCCGAAAGGACUGGGUAAACCUGUGAAACUUCUCCGUGCUUGGGAUAGCGGAUUGAAAUUGUUUCGCUUCAACGAGGAAUUCCUAGUAAUCGCAAGUCAACAGCUUGCAAUGAUUACGUCCCUGCCCUUUGUACACACCGCCCGUCGCUACUACUGAUUGGACGGUUAAGCAAGAACUUCAAAUACUUGCAGUUUUGACUUCGGUUGAGACAGCGAGUUGAAGAAGAUCGAGCUUAUUUGUCUAGAGGAAGUAAAAGUCGUAACA